Molecule: long non-coding RNA, 1442 nt
Filed under: Betta splendens (Siamese fighting fish)
Lineage: Eukaryota; Metazoa; Chordata; Actinopteri; Anabantiformes; Osphronemidae
Description: lncRNA (ENSBSLG00000020097.1)
Source: RNAcentral
AAAUCAAAUUUAAACCUUGUUUUCUCACCCAAUGGUUGGUGUCAGCACAACAGAGCUAAGAUUUGACAUUUACUUGGUUUAUUCUAGUUCAUUAACUCUGAUCACUGAAAUCACACUUCUGCUGUGGACCCGUUUUUGUGGGGAGUACCAAGAUCAUAAGGCGCAUAAACCAACCUCUUGUUAAGCCAACACCUCCGUCUCCUGCAGAGGCGCUCCGCAAUGGGGAAAUCUACAGGUCAGCAGGAAAGCAAAAGAGACUGCGCCCUACAGAACCUUGCAGCGCAGAUGAAGGCACUCCCUAAAGUUGUGGGCUGUGAGCUGCCACCUACUCGGGAUUUGCUGGUGAUAGACGGACAUGGAUCUACUCUGCAGCUUGCAUUAUUACACGCCAAGUGUGUGUUUCACUGUUUGAUAAUGGAAGGGAGCAAACUCAAUACUUGGUGGAGAAAACGUUGGCUGCAAUACAUCUGAAUCUGAACUGUGAUAAAGAAAAAUAACGUGACAGCGGAUGAAGUUUGUUCCCAAGAACGGGAACAAAAAAACAGUUGUGAUUCUGAUGUUGGUAAUAACAUGAGAUGUAUUCAUUAGGUAAUACUACAGAAAAUGUCUUAUUACCAAUAUGUUUCUUCAUAGUGUGAAUUUGAGGUUUGACUUGGAGUUUUGACGUGCUGCAUUUUUCACGCAGUCACUUUGGUUUUGACAUUAAUUUUGUCGAUUUGAUUCUGCUUCAAACAAAAGCUCUAAGAUUUGACCAAGAAUGGGUUUAGAUUUAUUGAAGACAUUUACACAGACACGUCUACUGAAGAAGUGGCAUAACUGUACUGUAGCUAAAUGUACAAUAGUACCAGUAGUUCCACUCCUCUAUUGUAGCUUUGACUUGUCUGUAGUUACAUUUCAAGUUUUUAUACAACAUUUGUUCUUCUUUAAAUGUUCUUUGUUUUUCUGGAAGUCCUGAUGAGAUUUGUACAAGCAGACUUGAAGCAACAGCACAACGUCUUAAUUUACGGAAGCCAACUGUGCGGCUCUUAGCCUCCUCCUACUACUUUGUUAUUGAGUGUGCUCGCUUUCUCCGUCGCCUCCUGGUUUAAUUCCAUUAGCCUGCAAAGAAAGAAAUCUGUGGGGACCCCUCACAUCCUAAGUCCCAUGUUCCAGUGGCUCCCAUCAGGACACAGACUCCCUGAUGCAGGACCCAAAUAGGAGAAACACUGUAAUCCCAGCAGUAGUUAUCCAUCUGAAUGCUGUCCUGUACAAUGACGCUUUUAAUUGAUCUUAUUAGUAAUAUUAAUUUUCCUGGAUGCUUUUCCUUAAUUGGCCUUCAGGGAUAAAUAAUAGAGAGAAAGUGUUUUAAAUUGAAUUGAUCAAUACAUUAUAAAUACCUGAAAUACUUAUGUACACAUUAUUCAAAGAAAUAAAUUAAAAACAAAUCUAUGUUGUGAAGUUCA